This 497-nucleotide ribosomal RNA is filed under the name uncultured bacterium. Its description in RNAcentral is "partial 16S ribosomal RNA". It matches the Rfam family "Bacterial small subunit ribosomal RNA", at positions 28 to 507 of the family's 1533-position model. The record is from RNAcentral.
GAUGAACGCUGGCGGCGUGCCUAAUACAUGCAAGUCGAGCGAACAGACGAGGAGCUUGCUCCUCUGACGUUAGCGGCGGACGGGUGAGUAACACGUGGAUAACCUACCUAUAAGACUGGGAUAACUGCGGGAAACCGGAGCUAAUACCGGAUAAUAUAUUGAACCGCAUGGAUCAAUAGUGAAAGACGGUUUUGCUGUCACUUAUAGAUGGAUCCGCGCCGCAUUAGCUAGUUGGUAAGGUAACGGCUUACCAAGGCAACGAUGCGUAGCCGACCUGAGAGGGUGAUCGGCCACACUGGAACUGAGACACGGUCCAGACUCCUACGGGAGGCAGCAGUAGGGAAUCUUCCGCAAUGGGCGAAAGCCUGACGGAGCAACGCCGCGUGAGUGAUGAAGGUCUUCGGAUCGUAAAACUCUUUUAUUAGGGAAGAACAAAUGUGUAAGUAACUAUGCACGUCUUGACGGUACCUAAUCAGAAAGCCACGGCUAACUACGUG